CGAUCAUAUUGCCUACUGAAUUCCUCUCGAUGAACCCGCGCCCAUUCGGGUCAAAGAGCAGGUAUGCAGAUAC
RNAcentral lists this non-coding RNA (73 nucleotides) under Paraphysomonas imperforata. The record is from RNAcentral. Lineage: Eukaryota; Chrysophyceae; Chromulinales; Paraphysomonadaceae.